Molecule: long non-coding RNA, 309 nt
Filed under: Physcomitrium patens
Lineage: Eukaryota; Viridiplantae; Streptophyta; Bryopsida; Funariales; Funariaceae
Description: long non-coding RNA (PPAT_LNC009181)
Source: RNAcentral
CAAAUCAAACUAUUAUCUACUUUGUUUGGUGAUUGGAUCUUUUGAGACUAUUGUAAGUUGUCUUUUGAAGAAAUUUAGUCUUGCCGUCUUAUGUGCAAUGUAGUUGGUACUAAAAAAUUAAGAUAGUUUAUUCCCAUCUUCUUCUUUGUUCCUAAACAAGGUACCCAAGCAAUCAUACUUAGUGGUAAUCCAAAUAUUGAUUCCAUCCCCCUCUCUUUUUUUAACCCGAUUUGAUGUAUCAUUUGUCAUUCCAAUUCCCAUUUGAGGCUCACAUUUGAGCCAUCACACAAUAGGGCUAAAUUUCUUUAC